CAGCGCUUACUGCGCGGCGAAAACCUUACACACAGUGUCUUUUUGAUACAGAACUCUUGCUUUGGUUUGGCCUAGAGAUAGGUUGGGCCAGAGGUUUAACAAAACACAAUUUAAUUAUUUUUACAGUUAGUCAAAUUUUGAAUUAAUCUUCAAAACUUUCAACAACGGAUCUCUUGGUUCUCGCAUCGAUGAAGAACGCAGCGAAAUGCGAUAAGUAAUAUGAAUUGCAGAUUUUCGUGAAUCAUCGAAUCUUUGAACGCACAUUGCGCCCUCUGGUAUUCCAGAGGGCAUGCCUGUUUGAGCGUCAUUUCUCUCUCAAACCCCCGGGUUUGGUAUUGAGUGAUACUCUUAGUCGGACUAGGCGUUUGCUUGAAAAGUAUUGGCAUGGGUAGUACUAGAUAGUGCUGUCGACCUCUCAAUGUAUUAGGUUUAUCCAACUCGUUGAAUGGUGUGGCGGGAUAUUUCUGGUAUUGUUGGCCCGGCCUUACAACAACCAAACAAGUUUGACCUCAAAUCAGGUAGGAAUACCCGCUGAACUUAAGCAUAUCAAUAAGCGGGGGA
Molecule: ribosomal RNA, 561 nt
Filed under: Meyerozyma guilliermondii
Lineage: Eukaryota; Fungi; Ascomycota; Pichiomycetes; Serinales; Debaryomycetaceae
Description: eukaryotic LSU rRNA
Rfam family: 5.8S ribosomal RNA (bases 154-307)
Source: RNAcentral